UUGUUUGUGUAUUAGUGACCUAGGUUUGCU
This 30-nucleotide non-coding RNA is filed under the name Rattus norvegicus (Norway rat). Lineage: Eukaryota; Metazoa; Chordata; Mammalia; Rodentia; Muridae. The record is from RNAcentral.